Molecule: ribosomal RNA, 506 nt
Filed under: uncultured bacterium
Lineage: Bacteria
Description: partial 16S ribosomal RNA
Rfam family: Bacterial small subunit ribosomal RNA
Source: RNAcentral
AUUGAACGCUGGCGGCAGGCUUAACACAUGCAAGUCGAGCGGUAACAGAGAGAAGCUUGCUUCUCUGCUGACGAGCGGCGGACGGGUGAGUAAUGCCUAGGAAUCUGCCUAGUAGUGGGGGAUAACUUGCCGAAAGGUAAGCUAAUACCGCAUACGUCCUACGGGAGAAAGGAGGGGACCUUCGGGCCUUUCGCUAUUAGAUGAGCCUAGGUCGGAUUAGUUAGUUGGUGAGGUAAUGGCUCACCAAGACCGCGAUCCGUAACUGGUCUGAGAGGAUGAUCAGUCAGACUGGAACUGGGACACAGUCCAGACUCCUACGGGAGGCAGCAGUGGGGAAUAUUGGGCGAUGGGGGGAACGCUGAUCCAGCCAUGCCGCGUGUGUGAAGAAGGUCUUAGGAUUGUAAAGCACUUUAAGUUGGGAGGAAGAGCAGUUAACUAAUAUUUGACUGUUUUGACGUUACCGACAGAAUAAGCACCGGCUAACUUCGUGCCAGCCGCCGCGGUAA